UUCCGGUUGAUCCUGCCAGACCCCACUGCUAUCGGGAUAGGACUAAGACAUGCUAGUCGAGCGCUUCAAGCCAAAAAGAGGCGCGGCAUACAGCUCAGUAACACGUGGCUAAUCUGCCCUUGGGAUAGGAAUAACCCCGGGAAACUGGGGCUAAUUCCCAAUAGGCGAAGAACUCUGGAAUGAGUCUUUACCAGAAAAGACGCUUGCGUUAUGCUCGUAGGCGUCGCCCAAGGAUGAGGCCGCGACCGAUCAGGUUGUUGGUGAGGUAAUGGCUCACCAAGCCUUUUACCGGUGCGGGCCGUGAGAGCGGGAGCCCGGAGAUGGGCACUGAGACAAGGGCCCAGGCCCUACGGGGCGCAGCAGUCGCGAAAACUUUGCAAUAAGCGAAAGCUUGACAGGGCUAUCCCGAGUGCCAUCCGCUGAGGAAGGCUUUUACCCAGUCUAGAACGCUGGGGGAAUAAGGAGAGGGCAAGUCUGGUGUCAGCCGCCGCGGUAAUACCAGCUCUCCGAGUGGUGUGGAUGUUUAUUGGGCCUAAAGCAUCCGUAGCUGGCUAAGUUAGUCCCUUGUUAAAUCCACCGAAUUAAUCGUUGGAUUGCGGGGGAUACUGCUUGGCUAGGGGACGAGAGAGGCAGACGGUAUUUCCGGGGUAGGGGUGAAAUCCUAUAAUCCCGGGAAGACCACCAGUGGCGAAGGCUGUCUGCUAGAACGCGCCCGACGGUGAGGGAUGAAAGCUGGGGGAGCGAACCGGAUUAGAUACCCGGGUAGUCCCAGCUGUAAACGAUGCAGGCUAGGUUUUUGGACGGCCACUUGCCGUUCUAGUGCCGC
RNAcentral lists this ribosomal RNA (826 nucleotides) under uncultured crenarchaeote. RNAcentral's name for it is "bacterial SSU rRNA". It matches the Rfam family "Archaeal small subunit ribosomal RNA", at positions 1 to 804 of the family's 1478-position model. Lineage: Archaea; Thermoproteati; Thermoproteota. The record is from RNAcentral.